GGGGGCUGUGGACACAGGGUGGCGGGCGCUGCCUCUCAUGGCUUCUUUUCUCCCUGGUGGGCUGGUGGGCUAGUAGCUGAGGCCGGCGGUCCUCUCCCCCGGGGAGCAGGCAGAUGACUUUGGCAAGGGGUGGUGUGGCGGGGGCUGGGGUUACUCCGUCUGGGCGUCGUAAUUGGCUCCCCCCGCCUUCUUCAGCUCGCUCUUGAUGAAAUCUUCCUCCAGCUCCUUCCGAU
Molecule: long non-coding RNA, 233 nt
Filed under: Homo sapiens (human)
Lineage: Eukaryota; Metazoa; Chordata; Mammalia; Primates; Hominidae
Description: lncAB232.1
Source: RNAcentral